UCCCUGGUAGCUCAGAGGUUAAAGCACCUGCCUGCAAUGCAGGAGACCUGGGUUCGAUCCCUGGGUAGGGAA
This 72-nucleotide transfer RNA is filed under the name Ovis aries (sheep). It matches the Rfam family "tRNA". From Rfam's summary of the family: Transfer RNA (tRNA) molecules are approximately 80 nucleotides in length. The record is from Rfam by way of RNAcentral. Lineage: Eukaryota; Metazoa; Chordata; Mammalia; Artiodactyla; Bovidae.